CGGGCUUGAAUUACAUAAGUAGUUAUUAGAGACAAUAAUUUCCUUUCGGGGACUUAUGUGAAGGUGCUGCAUGGUU
This 76-nucleotide ribosomal RNA is filed under the name uncultured bacterium. RNAcentral describes it as "partial 16S ribosomal RNA". The record is from RNAcentral.